CGCGCAGGCGGCCUGGUAAGUGAAACGUGAAAGCCCCCGGCUUAACCGGGGAUGUGCGUCUCAUACUGCCAGGCUUGAGGGCGGGAGAGGAAACGGGAAUUCCCGGUGUAGCGGUGAAAUGCACUGAUAUCGGGAGGAACACCUGUGGCGAAGGCGCGUUUCUGGCCCGCUCCUGACGCUCAGGCGCGAAAGCUGGGGGAGCAAACA
RNAcentral lists this ribosomal RNA (207 nucleotides) under uncultured bacterium. Its description in RNAcentral is "partial 16S ribosomal RNA". It matches the Rfam family "Bacterial small subunit ribosomal RNA", at positions 568 to 774 of the family's 1533-position model. The record is from RNAcentral.